This 253-nucleotide ribosomal RNA is filed under the name uncultured bacterium. RNAcentral describes it as "partial 16S ribosomal RNA". It matches the Rfam family "Bacterial small subunit ribosomal RNA", at positions 524 to 776 of the family's 1533-position model. The record is from RNAcentral.
UACGUAGGGUGCGAGCGUUAAUCGGAAUUACUGGGCGUAAAGCGUGCGCAGGCGGUUUUUUAAGACCGGCGUGAAAUUCCCGGGCUUAACCUGGGAACUGCGCUUGUGACUGGAAGGCUAGAGUACGGCAGAGGGGGGUGGAAUUCCACGUGUAGCAGUGAAAUGCGUAGAGAUGUGGAGGAACACCGAUGGCGAAGGCAGCCCCCUGGGCCGAUACUGACGCUCAUGCACGAAAGCGUGGGGAGCAAACAGG